UACAGAGGUCCCAAGCGUUGUUCGGAUUCACUGGGCGUAAAGGGUGCGUAGGUGGCCAGGUAAGUCGGAUGUGAAAUCUCGGAGCUCAACUCCGAAACUGCAUUGGAAACUGCUUGGCUAGAGGGUUGGAGGGGGGACUGGAAUACUUGGUGUAGCAGUGAAAUGCGUAGAUAUCAAGUGGAACACCAGUGGCGAAGGCGAGUCCCUGGACAACUCCUGACACUGAGGCACGAAAGCUAGGGGAGCAAACAGG
RNAcentral lists this ribosomal RNA (253 nucleotides) under uncultured bacterium. RNAcentral's name for it is "partial 16S ribosomal RNA". It matches the Rfam family "Bacterial small subunit ribosomal RNA", at positions 524 to 776 of the family's 1533-position model. The record is from RNAcentral.